UGGGGAAUAUUGGACAAUGGGCGAAAGCCUGAUCCAGCAAUGCCGCGUGAGUGAUGAAGGCCUUCGGGUUGUAAAGCUCUUUCGGGUGGGACGAUGAUGACGGUACCACCAGAAGAAGCCCCGGCUAACUUCGUGCCAGCAGCCGCGGUAAUACGAAGGGGGCUAGCGUUGUUCGGAAUUACUGGGCGUAAAGCGCACGCAGGCGGUCCGUUAAAUGAGGAGUGAAAGCCCUGGGCUCAACCCGGGAAUUGCUCUUCAGACUGGCGGACUUGAAUCCGGAAGAGGGUAGUGGAAUUCCCAGUGUAGAGGUGAAAUUCGUAGAUAUUGGGAAGAACACCGGUGGCGAAGGCGACUGCCUGGUCCGGUAUUGACGCUCAUGUGCGAAAGCGUGGGGAGCAAA
RNAcentral lists this ribosomal RNA (400 nucleotides) under uncultured bacterium. RNAcentral's name for it is "bacterial SSU rRNA". It matches the Rfam family "Bacterial small subunit ribosomal RNA", at positions 355 to 772 of the family's 1533-position model. The record is from RNAcentral.